UUUAACACAUGGGCCUUUGCAGG
This 23-nucleotide non-coding RNA is filed under the name Rattus norvegicus (Norway rat). The record is from RNAcentral. Lineage: Eukaryota; Metazoa; Chordata; Mammalia; Rodentia; Muridae.